UACGUAGGGGGCAAGCGUUGUCCGGAAUCAUUGGGCGUAAAGCGCGUGUAGGCGGUCCGGUAAGUCCGCUGUGAAAGUCGGGGGCUCAACCCUCGGAUGCCGGUGGAUACUGUCGGGCUUGAGUACGGAAGAGGCGAGUGGAAUUCCUGGUGUAGCGGUGAAAUGCGCAGAUAUCAGGAGGAACACCAAUUGCGAAGGCAGCUCGCUGGGACGUUACUGGCGCUGAGACGCGAAAGCGUGGGGAGCAAACAGG
This 253-nucleotide ribosomal RNA is filed under the name uncultured bacterium. RNAcentral's name for it is "partial 16S ribosomal RNA". It matches the Rfam family "Bacterial small subunit ribosomal RNA", at positions 524 to 776 of the family's 1533-position model. The record is from RNAcentral.